UAAGGAAUAUUGGUCAAUGGACGCAAGUCUGAACCAGCCAUGCCGCGUGAAGGAUGAAGGUCCUCUGGAUUGUAAACUUCUUUUAUCUGGGACGAAAACGGGAUUUUUAUCUCAAUUGACGGUACCAGAGGAAUAAGCACCGGCUAACUCCGUGCCAGCAGCCGCGGUAAUACGGAGGGUGCGAGCAUUAUCCGGAUUUACUGGGUUUAAAGGGUGCGUAGGUGGGCUUAUAAGUCAGUGGUGAAAUCUCCGAGCUUAACUUGGAAACUGCGGUUGAUACGAGAGGGCUUGAAUUUUCUGGAGGUAAGCGGAAUAUGUCAUGUAGCGGUGAAAUGCUUAGAUAUGACAUAGAACACCGAUUGCGAAGGCAGCUUACUACAUAUAAAUUGACGCUGAGGCACGAAAGCGUGGGGAUCAAACA
RNAcentral lists this ribosomal RNA (421 nucleotides) under uncultured bacterium. RNAcentral describes it as "bacterial SSU rRNA". It matches the Rfam family "Bacterial small subunit ribosomal RNA", at positions 355 to 774 of the family's 1533-position model. The record is from RNAcentral.